UUCGGGCGCCGGUGAGUGGCGAACGGGUGAGUAACACGUGGAGACCUAUCCAUUGGUGGGGGACAACAGCUGGAAACGGCUGCUAAUACCGCAUAAUCCCUACGGGGGAAAGAUUUAUCGCCAUAGGAGGGUUCCGCGUCGGAUUAGCUAGUUGGUGGGGUAACGGCCUACCAAGGCAACGAUCCGUAGCUGGUCUUAGAGGAUGAUCAGCCACACUGGGACUGAGACACGGCCCAGACUCCUACGGGAGGCAGCAGUGGGGAAUAUUGCGCAAUGGAGGAAACUCUGACGCAGCGAUGCCGCGUGGGUGAAGAAGGCCUUGGGGUUGUAAAGCCCUUUCAGUGGGAACGAUGGUGACGGUACCCACAGAAGAAGCCCCGGCUAACUCCGUGCCAGCAGCCGCGGUAAUACGGAGGGGGCGAGCGUUGUUCGGAAUUAUUGGGCGUAAAGCGCGCGUAGGCGGUUUAUUAAG
RNAcentral lists this ribosomal RNA (472 nucleotides) under uncultured Magnetococcus sp. RNAcentral's name for it is "bacterial SSU rRNA". It matches the Rfam family "Bacterial small subunit ribosomal RNA", at positions 79 to 587 of the family's 1533-position model. Lineage: Bacteria; Pseudomonadati; Pseudomonadota; Magnetococcia; Magnetococcales; Magnetococcaceae. The record is from RNAcentral.